This is a non-coding RNA of Flavobacteria bacterium GWA2_35_26, 397 nucleotides long. The record is from Rfam. NCBI's taxonomy places the organism in Bacteria, Pseudomonadati, Bacteroidota, Flavobacteriia.
GGGGUCGACUGGUUUUGACAGCGAGUCGAAUUGAAAAGUAAGCAGGUCGAGAACUGAAGUAAUUCUCGUUAAUAAAAGGCUUCACACUUUUUACACGGCGAAGGAAACUACGCUCUUGCUGCAUAAUCUGAAUCAUAGUAAGAUUAGCCUCGUCCUACCAGGUAGGAAAGCAGGAUUCUCCUCAAAGGCUUUGGUUUAUAGCAUUUGAUCUAGGAGAAUCGUAAAUAUAAACCUAGGGCAUCGUUUGUUUCGGGCGGUACUUGAAAAUUAAGAGACUAAGUGUUUUGUGGCUGUUUCUGGCCUAGCAAAACAUCGAAAAAUCAAUCAGAAAAUAAGCCUGUAGAAAGCUCUUUAGUUGCUUGUUUGGACCCGGGUUCGAUUCCCGGCGACUCCACAU